This 77-nucleotide microRNA precursor is filed under the name Scleropages formosus (Asian bonytongue). RNAcentral describes it as "mir-193 microRNA precursor family". It matches the Rfam family "mir-193 microRNA precursor family". The record is from Rfam by way of RNAcentral. Lineage: Eukaryota; Metazoa; Chordata; Actinopteri; Osteoglossiformes; Osteoglossidae.
GUCUGAGGUUGGGUCUUUGCGGGCAAGGUGAGUGCUGUAAGGUCUCUCAACUGGCCUACAAAGUCCCAGCUUUGGAC